GCCACGUCUUGGUACACGCCGGCCACGCCCCCUCGGCGCGCUUGGUACGCGCCGCGCUCCCCCCGCCCGCCGCAGUGGUUCGGCCGCGACGACCCCUCUCCGGCGGCGCGGCCCCCGCGCUUGGUACGGCCCGUCCCGCUGCCCCGAGAGCCGCCCCCUCGCGCCCCUCAGUCGGUGGAGCCCGCAGCCCCCUGCGCGGCCCGUGGCGUCCGCACGGCCUGUCCGCCUCGCACCCGUCAUGGUCCGCCCGCGCCGCGCCCCGCACCGCUCCGGCGCCGGGGGCCCCCUCGGGGGUCGCGGCCGCCCCCCGCGGCCCCUCACGGUGCGCGCCGCCCGUUCGCGCUCCUGGCCCGCCGGCCCCCGGGGCCCGCAGCCGCCGCGGAUCCGGGCCCGCUCGGCUCCUCCCAUGCCAGGGGCCCGGGUGUUCGGGGCCCUGGGCCCCAUCGGGCCCUCCUCGCCGGGCCUGGCCCUCGGGGGCCUGGCGGUGGCCGAGCACCGGCUCAGCAACAAGCUGCUGGCCUGGAGCGGCGUCCUCGAGUGGCAGGAGAAGCGCAGGCCCUUCUCUGACUCCACCGCCAAGCUGAAGCGGACCCUCCCCUGCCAGGCCUACGUGAACCAGGGCGAGAACCUGGAGACGGACCAGUGGCCUCAGAAGCUGAUCAUGCAGCUGAUCCCGCAGCAGCUGCUGACCACGCUGGGCCCCCUGUUCCGCAACUCGCAGCUGGCGCAGUUCCACUUCACCAACCGGGACUGCGACUCCCUCAAGGGGCUCUGCCGCGUCAUGGGCAACGGCUUCGCGGGCUGCAUGCUCUUCCCGCACAUCUCGCCCUGCGAGGUGCGCGUGCUCAUGCUCCUGUACUCGUCCAAGAAGAAGAUCUUCAUGGGCCUCAUCCCCUACGACCAGAGCGGCUUCGUCAACGCCAUCCGCCAGGUCAUCACCACCCGCAAGCAGGCGGUGGGCCCCGGGGGCGUGGCGGGGCCGGUCCAGAUCGUCAACAACAAGUUCCUGGCGUGGAGCGGCGUCAUGGAGUGGCAGGAGCCCAGGCCUGAUCCCAACAACCGGAACAAGAGGUGGCUGCCGUCGCACGUCUACGUGAACCAGGGCGAGAUCCUGCGGACGGAGCAGUGGCCCAGGAAGCUGUACAUGCAGCUCAUCCCGCAGCAGCUGCUCACCACGCUGGUGCCGCUCUUCCGGAACUCGCGCCUGGUGCAGCUGCACUUCACCAAGGACCUGGAGACGCUCAAGAGCCUGUGCCGCAUCAUGGACAACGGCUUUGCGGGCUGCGUGCACUUCCCCUACAAGGCCGCGUGCGAGGUGCGCGUGCUCAUGCUGCUGUACUCCUCCGAGAAGAAGAUCUUCAUCGGCCUCAUCCCCCACGACCAGGGCAACUUCGUCAACGGCAUCCGGCGCGUCAUCGCCAACCAGCAGCAGGUCCUGCAGCGCAACCUGGAGCAGGAGCAGCAGCAGCGCGGGAUGGGGGGCUAGGGCCACCCGGCCUGGGCCCCGCCAGGAGUCACCGACGAGGCCCCGGUGGCACUGGUCAGAUGCUCUGAGCGGGGGCCCUCGGAGCCUGCAGCUGCCCCCCGAGACGGAGGACAGCGCCCCGAGACAGUGCCAUCAUGUAUGUUCCCCAAUAAAGUCUUUUAAAAGCC
RNA transcript from Pipistrellus kuhlii (Kuhl's pipistrelle), 1653 nucleotides. It is a transcript of the gene named PTOV1 extended AT-hook containing adaptor protein, with no coding region annotated. The record is from RefSeq and is a predicted model, not a curated record. The transcript has 13 exons. NCBI's taxonomy places the organism in Eukaryota, Metazoa, Chordata, Mammalia, Chiroptera, Vespertilionidae.